UGGGCUAAUAAUUUUUUUUUCUUCAAACAG
Molecule: non-coding RNA, 30 nt
Filed under: Cricetulus griseus (Chinese hamster)
Lineage: Eukaryota; Metazoa; Chordata; Mammalia; Rodentia; Cricetidae
Source: RNAcentral